Molecule: non-coding RNA, 22 nt
Filed under: Mus musculus (house mouse)
Lineage: Eukaryota; Metazoa; Chordata; Mammalia; Rodentia; Muridae
Source: RNAcentral
UGCAACAGUCAUGUCUACAGUA